RNAcentral lists this long non-coding RNA (2646 nucleotides) under Nicotiana tabacum (common tobacco). Its description in RNAcentral is "long non-coding RNA (NTAB_LNC007004)". The record is from RNAcentral. Lineage: Eukaryota; Viridiplantae; Streptophyta; Magnoliopsida; Solanales; Solanaceae.
CCUCAUCUCUAUAUGAUGUACACUCUUAUAUUCUAUAAAAGACAUUCUUCCUCACAUUCUCACACAAGUGAAUACAUCCUAAUCCUUGCACUCUUUUUUCAAGAAAAAUCCACUAAUUCCUGGAUUCUUAGAAGGAAAAACACACCCAGAAUUUCUGCAAUUUUAGAUAUACAUAGAUCGAAGAAGUUUUUAUCUUCUCAAGUUAAUUUUGAGCUAAAAGUUGAAGUUCAUUCUGGGACUUACUGCUGAUUUCUGUCUACUCAUUGCUGAUUCUUAAGUCUCGUUGAACUUCUCUCUUUCAUUUUAGCCUUUAUUUGGCCAUUCUAAGUUCCCUAACUGCAUUUCAAGGUACAUGUUCUAACUUCAAACCAUGUAAUUGAUAUUAGGAUGUUUUAUUGUUAUACAAUCUAUGUUGUUUGUUAGUUGAUGUGUACGGUGGAUGUUCCUCUAUGUUUGACUGCAAAUUUGAGCUUAGAUUGAAGAAAAAUGGUUUGAUAAAUCUUCAUACAUGCUGGUAACCUAAGUAAUAAAAUAAUUAUCAGUUCUAUAUUUUGAUUUAUGACUGCUGAGAUUUGGUUUGUUGUUGGUGAAUUUCAUACAUGUGAUGUUCUGAAGGUUUCCUAUUAGAUUUGUGGCCUAAGAAGUAAGAUGUCGGAAGUGUUGGAGAUGAGCUUGGAAAUAUGACCAGUGCUUGGCUUGAUUUUAAAGUUUUGUCAAUUAAAAGUGGUCAUCUAUUGUAAUUAUUGAAUUUUAGUUUAGUAUGGUUCUUGAUAUAGAGUUGUAAUAAUUCAGUUCAUUAUCAUUGAAUGUUGUUAUACAGAUUUAGUAGACUGAUAGUUAACGUUAAAAAAAUAUAGAUUAUGGAAUGUUGUUAUAUAGCAGUUUAUCAUGAGUUUAGCAUGUUAAAGUCCCUCUUGCACGAAGUAGCUUCAUUAUUAGUAGUUUAUUAACAGUAGAGAUGUAAAUGUUAAUUUAGGGAUGAUAUUGUAUAAGUAAUUCAAUUGGAGCUGGUGUUUAAACUCGUUUGAAGUACUUUAGUCUGUUGUGAUUUGUUACGGGCAUAGCUGAUCUUUCUUUAAAGUAAUUUGUUGUAUUUCAUUCAAAGUAAAAUUCCUAUUUAUGUUUUAAGAUUUGUAGUAGUAAAUGUUUUCAGUUGGGACGCCCAAUUCCAAUCGUGUCAGGCUCAACUUUCUUGAGCAUGGCAGCCUUUCCUUUGUUAGGCAACCUUUCUUUUGUUUGACUAAGGCUCAAAUUUGGGUUCAAUCCCAGCAACCUGUAACGUUGGCCUCUUUCAAAGAGUUGGGACAUUUGGUCUUUUCUCAUCCAAGAGCCCGCUUGUACCCCCCUUAUAUGUGAAUUAACUCAUCAAAGUCAUAGUGUAUAGCUUCUGUCAUUUUCAUCUAUAGAUUAAUAUAAAUACCAAUCAACAAAAAGAGUAGAUUCAUUUGAAUUAUUUAAAAUGAAGCUGAUGCGACCUUAAGCUACAAUCCAACACUGAAUUAUGAUGGUCAAUUCAUGGACACUCAAUCUCGCACUGCCUAGGAAGCUGAACAAAUUAAUUUUUGAAUAUUUGUAGAAAUGCUUUUAGGUGCGCAUCUAAUAUAUCAUCGUGACUAUAUAUACGUUUGCGUGACAUAAUUAAGAUCUCCACAAAUAAAUCAAAGUAAGCGUUCACGCGACUUUGGCCAAACAAUCUUAAUAAUUAAUAAAGUAUGAUUAACUGUGUAUACGUACAACAACAACAACCACCCAGUAGAAUCCCACUAUUGGGGUCUUGGGGAGGGUAGAAUGUACGUAGACCUUACCCCUACUUCGAAGGGAUAGAUAGGCUAUUUUCGGGAGACCCUCGGCUCAGAGACAAUAGAUCCAUAACCAUAACAGAAACCAGAAAAAUAGUAUCAACAUCGUAAAUACAAAAAUAAAUGGAAAGGUUAAAAUGUGAAAGACAACAACAAUAACAACAAAUCAAAAAAAUAAAAAAUAAAAAAAUUACGAAACAUAACAAAAAUUUUGUGUACACGUACGCGUAAUAUAAUUUUAGCGCUCCAAAUAAAAUGGAUUUACACACAUGUGAUCCAUUUUUCAAGAUAAAUCCAUAAACGCCAUAUUUAAAAGCAGUAAAAGGUUAAAUACACAUAGGUUCUAAAAUACGUAAUUAAAUAAUUUAGGCGUAAUGGCUUCCAGACCACUUAAACUUAUAGGGCUUUUGAAAGUCGAUACGCAAAUUUUGGACUUUCCCAUUAAACACUCAAACUCGUGAAACCCAUAACUAAUAAACAUAUUUGACCGUUGACCCAUCCCAUGUGGUUUCAGUUGGUCCUUGUCAGCCGGUUACGUGAGUCUCACAGCGUUUAGGAGCGUGAGAGCCCCCUUCCUAAUGCCCAACGGUAAAAAAUGGGGCCUAUUUAAGUGAGUUCUUAUUCCUUCAAUGUAAAACACAUUAUCCCUCUAUUGUAUAACAUUUGAAGCUUCAUUCCUUCAUAUUUCUUAAAAUCUGAAGCUUUAUUUAUUUUUUUUCUUUUUCCUGACUGUGAAAAAGAAUCAAAGUCCUGUAUUUUGUCAUUGUGGAGUUGAAGCUCAUAUUUGUAUCAUUUGGAAGCCAACAAAUCCAGGAAGAAGGUUUUAUGGGUGCUCAAACUAUGGUCG